CCUACGGGAGGCAGCAGUGGGGAAUAUUGCACAAUGGGGGGAACCCUGAUGCAGCGACGCCGCGUGGGUGAAGGAGUAUUUCGGUAUGUAAAGCCCUAUCAGCAGGGAAGAACAAUGACGGUACCUGACUAAGAAGCACCGGCUAAAUACGUGCCAGCAGCCGCGGUAAUACGGAUGGUGCAAGCGUUAUCCGGAUUUACUGGGGGUAAAGGGAGCGCAGGCGGCGCGUUAAGCCUGGUGUGAAGGCCCGGGGCCCAACCGCGGGACUGCAUUGGGAACUGGCGGGCUGGAGUGCCGGAGGGGUAGGCGGAAUUCCUAGUGUAGCGGUGAAAUGCGUAGAUAUUAGGAGGAACACCAGUGGCGAAGGCGGCCUACUGGACGGUGACUGACGCUGAGGCUCGAAAGCGUGGGGAGCAAACAGGAUUAGAUACCCGGGUAGUC
This 441-nucleotide ribosomal RNA is filed under the name uncultured bacterium. Its description in RNAcentral is "partial 16S ribosomal RNA". It matches the Rfam family "Bacterial small subunit ribosomal RNA", at positions 338 to 795 of the family's 1533-position model. The record is from RNAcentral.